GAAAGAAUAGAAUAGAAUAAAGGUAAAGUACGAAAGUGUAGAAGGAGAGUUCAGUUUGGUCUGGGAUUAGAUGGCGAUGAGCUCUGGUUCAGAUAGUUCUGGAUGCGUGAGGUGUGGAGUGUACACGAAAGUAGUCUGUUCGUAUGGGACUACGGCAUGUAUAGAUGCGAGCAGAAAGGACUCAUAGUAUGUGAGUGUCCUACUGCGGCCCUGAUUGGCACAGUCCCAGCAGAUGACUUCUAGUAGUGUACCUCAGCCUGUAGCUCUAGCCAGGGUUCAGGACAGUGGUUGAGACAGGAGGAGAGAGUUCUCCUAUUCUUUGGUCGGUUCCCGAGGGAAGAUUCGUUAGCUUUAGUUUGGAUCUUCAUCCUGACUCAGUAGGAGGCUAA
This 389-nucleotide long non-coding RNA is filed under the name Manihot esculenta (cassava). RNAcentral's name for it is "long non-coding RNA (MESC_LNC010221)". Lineage: Eukaryota; Viridiplantae; Streptophyta; Magnoliopsida; Malpighiales; Euphorbiaceae. The record is from RNAcentral.